CAACCCUUAUCCUUUGUUGCCAGCGAUUAGGUCGGGAACUCAAAGGAGACUGCCAGUGAUAAACUGGAGGAAGGUGGGGAUGACGUCAAGUCAUCAUGGCCCUUACGACCAGGGCUACACACGUGCUACAAUGGCGCAUACAAAGAGAAGCGACCUCGCGAGAGCAAGCGGACCUCAUAAAGUGCGUCGUAGUCCGGAUUGGAGUCUGCAACUCGACUCCAUGAAGUCGGAAUCGCUAGUAAUCGUGGAUCAGAAUGCCACGGUGAAUACGUUCCCGGGCCUUGUACACACCGCCCGUCACACCAUGGGAGUGGGUUGCAAAAGAAGUAGGUAGCUUAACCUUCGGGAGGGCGCUUACCACUUUGUGAUUCAUGACUGGGGUGAAGUCGUAACAAGGUAACCGUAGGGGAACCUGCGGUUGGAUCACCU
This 429-nucleotide ribosomal RNA is filed under the name Salmonella enterica subsp. enterica. Its description in RNAcentral is "bacterial SSU rRNA". It matches the Rfam family "Bacterial small subunit ribosomal RNA", at positions 1099 to 1528 of the family's 1533-position model. The record is from RNAcentral. Lineage: Bacteria; Pseudomonadati; Pseudomonadota; Gammaproteobacteria; Enterobacterales; Enterobacteriaceae.